Molecule: ribosomal RNA, 492 nt
Filed under: uncultured bacterium
Lineage: Bacteria
Description: partial 16S ribosomal RNA
Rfam family: Bacterial small subunit ribosomal RNA
Source: RNAcentral
AGUGAACGCUGGCGGUAGGCCUAACACAUGCAAGUCGAACGGCAGCACAGUAAGAGCUUGCUCUUACGGGUGGCGAGUGGCGGAGGGGUGAGGAAUACAUCGGAAUCUACUUUUUCGGGGGGGAUAACGUAGGGAAGCUUACGCUAAUACCGCAUACGACCUACGGGUGAAAGCAGGGGAUCUUCGGACCUUGCGCGAUUGAAUGAGCCGAUGUCGGAUUAGCUAGUUGGCGGGGUAAGGGCCCACCAAGGCGACGAUCCGUAGCUGGUCUGAGAGGAUGAUCAGCCACACUGGAACUGAGACACGGUCCAGACUCCUACGGGAGGCAGCAGUGGGGAAUAUUGGACAAUGGGCGCAAGCCUGAUCCAGCCAUACCGCGUGGGUGAAGAAGGCCUUCGGGUUGUAAAGCCCUUUUGUUGGGAAAGAAAAGCAGCAGGUUAAUACCCCGCUGUUCUGACGGUACCCAAAGAAUAAGCACCGGCUAACUUCGUG